GUCGAGAAUAAUUCACAAUGGACGAAAGUCUGAUGGUGCAACGCCGCGUGGAGGAUGAAGGUCUUCGGAUUGUAAACUCCUGUCAUCGGGGAGUAAGACCUGGCGGUAAAUAGCCGACAGGGUUGAUAGUACCCGAAGAGGAAGGGACGGCUAACUUCGUGCCAGCAGCCGCGGUAAUACGAAGGUCCCAAGCGUUGUUCGGAAUCACUGGGCGUAAAGGGAGCGUAGGCGGCGUGGUAAGUCAGAUGUGAAAUCCCGGGGCUCAACCCCGGAACUGCAUCCGAUACUGCAAUGCUUGAGGGUUGGAGAGGUAGCUGGAAUUCUCGGUGUAGCAGUGAAAUGCGUGGAUAUCGAGAGGAACACUCGUGGCGAAGGCGAGCUACUGGACAACAUCUGACGCUGAGGCUCGAAGGCCAGGGGAGCAAAAGGGAUUAGAAACCCCAGUAGUCC
RNAcentral lists this ribosomal RNA (450 nucleotides) under uncultured bacterium. Its description in RNAcentral is "partial 16S ribosomal RNA". It matches the Rfam family "Bacterial small subunit ribosomal RNA", at positions 354 to 796 of the family's 1533-position model. The record is from RNAcentral.